AGGACGAACGCUGGCGGCGUGCUUAACACAUGCAAGUCGAGCGGAAAGGCCCUUCGGGGUACUCGAGCGGCGAACGGGUGAGUAACACGUGAGUAAUCUGCCCCUAGCUCUGGGAUAGCUCCGGGAAACCGGGAUUAAUACCGGAUAUGACCACUUUAGACAUCUGCUGUGGUGGAAAGAAUUUCGGCUAGGGAUGAGCUCGCGGCCUAUCAGCUUGUUGGUGGGUAACGCCACCAAGGCGACGACGGGUA
Molecule: ribosomal RNA, 251 nt
Filed under: uncultured bacterium
Lineage: Bacteria
Description: partial small subunit ribosomal RNA
Rfam family: Bacterial small subunit ribosomal RNA
Source: RNAcentral